RNAcentral lists this long non-coding RNA (4423 nucleotides) under Podarcis muralis (Common wall lizard). RNAcentral describes it as "lncRNA (ENSPMRG00000001938.1)". Lineage: Eukaryota; Metazoa; Chordata; Lepidosauria; Squamata; Lacertidae. The record is from RNAcentral.
AUGCGCGGGGCGCCUCCCCCUCUUGCAAGGAUCGCGCGCUCCUCGCCUGGCGCUGCUCGCUUUUUUCCCGCAGGAUGCAGGUGCUCUCGGCCCGCGCGCAGCUCGGCGGAGGGAGGGCGCGGGGCGGGGCGGGCGCGGGGCGAGCCGGCCCCCUCGGGGCUGUGGGGCGGCCCGUGGGCCGAGCUGCCCCCUAGAGGCGCCUUCCCGCCGCGCGCGCCCCGGCCCGGCCCCGCGCGCACCGAUAUAAGCGGCGCGGCCGGCGGCCCGAGAGCGCAGUGCCUGGCGAGCGGCGCCCCGAGAGGACGAGAGAGGCGCGCGGAGACGGCGAGUUUGAAGUGGAAAUGCGGAAAACAAAACUUCAGACUGGAAAAAUAAGGAACUGAGAAAAAUGAAAAUCGACAGAUUUGUCCAUCACUAUGGAACAGUAGUGCUGGCUGCAAGGCCAAGUGUCUUCUCCAGUUUAAAUUAGGGUUUUGCAAAUAUAUCCCACCCUUGUGGGUUGAUUCAGGGUUGCAUACAGAACCACAGAUUGUGUGCUGAACUUCCACAUUCCCGCUUAUGCAGGGCUGUCAGGUAUUCGUUAUUUUAAAGGUCGCCCCCCUUUACAGAGUGUAACAGAUGUUAUUUAAUUUUCAACAUGCCUUACCCUAUAAAAUUCAACAGAAAAGGCAUUGCAGCUUUUACCUUUAAGGAAAAUUAAUCUGUUUGCCACUUUGACAUAUGAAGUAAAUGUUCUUUGUUUUGGAUAUGAACAGCCAGAACCUCCGACUUUGCUGGACUGUGAUCCAUAUACGUUACUGUUACCCAGGACUCAGAAGCCUGCCUGUGGAUCAUUGGUUGACCAACUUGGUAUAGAAUUCAAACUUUAAACUCUCCUUGCUUUUUGCAGAUUAUACAAGUGCAUUCUGAAAUCUAGCUCUGCAUCCAAAUGCAAUAACGGAGGAAGAGUACAAAAUGCUUGAUUAUUCAGGUUCAGUGCCACAAACGGAACCCACAUGAAAUGUUUGUAUAAUGGCAGAAAAUGAAUAGCUGUGGUAUGAAAUCAGUGGGCCACUAUCAUUGGGUGUGUGGCUGCAGUUUCAUUUAUUUAUUUCUCAGUAGAGUUCGGUGGGGUAAACUCCUGAACUGAUACAUUCCCCUGUGUCAUUUCUAGAAAUGUGACAUGGAACUUCUUCUUCUUCUUUUUUAGGUCCCAAUGGAUACAGCCACCAACAGUGGUAGGGAGCAAGAAAGGCAAGAAAAGAGCUGGCGGAAUCCCCUUUUGCUGAAGCUGUUCUUUGACUUGCCAAUCAAGUGGAGUGGAAGAAGAAACCUUGUCCUUUCCCCCCUUCUAAAGCUUCUGGGCACACUGCUAGAUUUGAAGAGGUGUUUAUAGAUGACUUCAAUUAUCCUCCUCACAUAGACUGGGGACACGUAUUCUAGUCAAGACAAAGAGGUAAAACUGUGCCCUAGAACAGUUGGUCAUGGAAUCAACCAGGAAGUAUAGCUGUCUUAAGAUUUAUUUUUCUAAAAAAGAAGUAUUUUCAUAGUCAUUAAAGAAUUUAAAGUAGGCUUUGGAGCAGUGGUUUCUCAUUCUGUGUGCUUGUCAAACUAGCAAAGUGGCAAUGCACUCAGACACCAGCGUGUGUUGAAUUUUUCAGCUUUCAGAUUCCAAAUAUGCAGGGUGCUUAUUUUUUUGUAACAUGACCUGGGAAUGCACAAGGUGUUUUGGUUAAACUACUGCAAUUUAAUUUUGCUUGGUACAUAAAAUAUGUGUAAAAUCAAAUAGAAAUCAUUACAAAUGAUUGUCAAGUACUUGAAGUUAUACAUCAUCAUCAUCAUUAUUUAGCAUUACCUGACAUUUUCAGAAGGGAAAAUUAAAAUGCUUUGGUUUUCCAAAAGCAGUUUAUAUGCUUCUUCAUCAAACGUAGACAUACCAAGCUAAAUGUUGUUCAGUCACAAAAACAAUAGCAAAUUUGAAUUCCUCACCUCCAAAAAUCAUAUUUUAAAGACCACUCACUAAAGAAAUGUGCAAAAACCAAGUUUCACUCCUUAAAAUUGCAUGCCCUAGACGGCCAGCCUGGCCACCUGUUCAUCUUUAUACCUUCCCUGCCUAUACUGUCUCUUAGAAUCAAGAGCUGUUUUGAUGUAGUUACUAGACACUUCUGCUACUGAGAACUUAAUUAGUGUUCAGUGUUCCUAUGUAAAUAAAUGGAGGAAGGGACAAGAGAACCUCCAUAUUAUCCGACUGUCAUAACUAGAAAUUACCAUGAAAUUUACCACAGCUUCUUAAAAUCUCUCCAUUUUUAACCAUCAUUAUUUCAACAAACCCCAAAUCAUUAUUAAGAGUGUAGCAGGAAGUUGCAUCACGCUCUAUUGCCACUCGUACCAGCAGUGUGCUGUUAAAUCAUAACAAACUUUUUCCAUAUUCUUGUGAAAAUACAUCUUCCUGUUGCAUAAAAUAUUGUUAAAUAACUCUGGGCACAAGCCAGAAAAUGCUUGCCAAGACUGAGUUUAUGUGAAAGCAAUGGAAUGGAACGUAUUUGUGACUAAGAUUGCAGCGCAACCCUAUCACAGGUACCUAGGAGAAAGUUACACUGAACUCAGUAGGACUAACUUUUGGGUAAACAGUAUAAAAUUGCAGUGCAUCUUCUUUCAUUGCAACUAAUUUUUGGAUUGUGUCUAAAGUGAUUGGUAUUUAAAUAGCCAGGUUUUUUUUUUUAAUAUAUCCAAAGAAAUUGUCAGGGACUGGGCAGAGGAGGAAUGGGGGAGACUUCCUCCCCAGCCUGACCCUUCCAGAGAAGAGGUAGACAGUUCAGAAUUACAACAGGGGUUUGAGGGAGGUCACAGGUCAGAGGCAGAGGAGAGGAAGCUGGGAAAUAAUGGGAGAGGAGGAGGAGGAAGGACCAGGGGGGUGACAGCUGACGGACUCAGUGUCUUUAGAAAGUAUUCCAGACCCUCCUCCCAGAACCUGGCGGGCCUUGAAAGUAGGAGAGCAAAGAGCUCAAAGGCAGAGGGCACAUUUCACUUCUUCACUUCACCCGUAGUGAUGACUCAUGAAGAAGUGGGAGAGAUUCACUAGGGACAACGUCAUUAUUCUGAGAGGCUGCAUUCCCAAGCCUCUUUCUGUGAAUACUGAAUAAAAGCAGAUGGUAAGGAUUUUUCCUUGUCUUGUCUGAUCCUGGCAACCUGCCAUAGGGGUUGGCUCCUCUGCUGCCUGACAGAAAUCUACUGUUCUGCUCCAGAUGAAAAACAUGUUCUUUAUUGCACAACUCUAGUUUCAGCAUUGAGUACAGUGCGCUCACAACUUACGUGGGGCUUACGGUCCAAAGACUGUGCCUAAAGCCAAAAUCAUGUAUAGUCAAAGCACACUGGAUUCAAUGGCGGGUGGGAUUGCCAAAGUCCCUUUUUCAGAGCCCCUCCCCUCUAAUUUCCACCCCCCUUUUUCCUCUUUUUUUUUUGCCACACACAUAAAGCUGAACAUGCACAAGUUAAAUGUGUGUAAGUUGAAGGCUUACUGUAUCACAUUAGUUGCUUGCAGAAUUGAAGCAUUAGAUGACAAAACUCCAGAGCUAUUCAGAUUUGAAAUGGUUUCCCAGUUAUGACACCACUUUGAAUGUUGCCAUAUUUGAUAACCUUUUUGAAGCACUAGCCAGUUCAGGUUAGGAAAGGGCACUAUUCUCUCUCUCUCUCUCUCUCCCCCUCCCCACGUACAUGCAUUGUUGUUGUUUUGUCGUUUAGUCGUGUCUGACUUUUCGUGACCCCCUGGACCAGAGCAUGCCAGGCACUUCUGUCUUCGCCUGCCUCCCGCAGUUUAGUCAAACUCAUGCUGGUAGCUUCGAGAACACCAUCCAACCAUCUCAUCCUCUGAUGUCCCCUUCUCCGUGUGCCCUCCAUCUUUCCCAACAUCAGGGUCUUUUCUAGGGAGUCUUCUCUUCUCAUGAGGUGGCCAAAGUAUUGGAGCCUUAGCUUCAGGAUCUGUCCUUCCAGUGAGCACUCAGGGCUGAUUUCCUUCAGAAUGGAUAGGUUUGAUCUUCCUGCAGUCCAUGGGACUCUCAAGAGUCUCCUCCAGCACCAGAAUUCAAAAGCAUCCAUUCUUCGGCGAUCAGCCUUCUUUAUGGUCCAGCUUUCACUUCCAUACAUCACUACUGGGAAAACCAUAGCUUUUACUAUACGUACAUGCAUACAUACAUACACAAUGUACUUAAAGGGAGAGGUCCAUAGAAGAACCAAUUAUGAAAUCUUGAAGUGCUGAGAAUGGAUUUCCAAGCAAAUGAAAAAGGAAUGCUAUGGAAACCCCACUUUUAUGAUUCUUGUUUAGUUUUAUAAUUGAAAACACAUGGCUGGCCAUCUGGCUAUCCAAGAAUCAAAGGAUUUGCACUUAACAGUAAUUUACUUGCCCUGAGACUCGUAUGAUCCCUACAUGUGUUUUCUCCUCAUCUUU